RNAcentral lists this ribosomal RNA (484 nucleotides) under uncultured bacterium. RNAcentral describes it as "partial 16S ribosomal RNA". It matches the Rfam family "Bacterial small subunit ribosomal RNA", at positions 29 to 507 of the family's 1533-position model. The record is from RNAcentral.
AUUGAACGCUGGCGGCAUGCUUUACACAUGCAAGUCGAACGGCAGCGCGGGCUUCGGCCUGGCGGCGAGUGGCGAACGGGUGAGUAAUACAUCGGUACGUGCCCAGCAGUGGGGGCUAGCUCGGCGACAGCCGGAUUAAUACCGCAUACGACCUGAGGGUGAAAGCGGGGGAUCUUCGGACCUCGCGCUCUUGGAGCGGCCGAUGGCAGAUUAGCUAGUUGGUGGGGUAAAGGCCUACCAAGGCGACGAUCUGUAGCUGGUCUGAGAGGACGACCAGCCACACUGGGACUGAGACACGGCCCAGACUCCUACGGGAGGCAGCAGUGGGGAAUUUUGGACAAUGGGCGAAAGCCUGAUCCAGCAAUGCCGCGUGUGUGAUGAAGGCCUUCGGGUUGUAAAGCACUUUUGGCGGGAACGAAAAGGACUGUGCCAAUACCACGGUUCGAUGACGGUACCCGCAGAAUAAGCACCGGCUAACUACGUG